Molecule: ribosomal RNA, 1457 nt
Filed under: uncultured Bordetella sp.
Lineage: Bacteria; Pseudomonadati; Pseudomonadota; Betaproteobacteria; Burkholderiales; Alcaligenaceae
Description: partial 16S-23S ribosomal RNA intergenic spacer
Rfam family: Bacterial small subunit ribosomal RNA
Source: RNAcentral
GGUUCGAUUAUGGCUCAGAUUGAACGCUGGCGGGAUGCUUUACACAUGCAGAGUCGAACGGCAGCACGGACUUCGGUCUGGUGGCGAGUGGCGAACGGGUGAGUAAUGUAUCGGAACGUGCCUAGUAGCGGGGGAUAACUACGCGAAAGCGUAACAAUACAUACGCCCUUCGGGGAAAGCGAGAGGGACCUUCGGGCCUCGCACUAUUAGAGCGGCCGAUAUCGGAUUAGCUAGUUGGUGGGUAACAGCUCGCAAGGCGACGAUCCGUAGCUGGUUGAGAGGACGACCAGCCACACUGGGACUGAGACACGGCCCAGACUCCUACGGGAGGCAGCAGUGGGAUUUUUUUGGACAAUGGAAACCUGAUCCAGCCAUCGCGUGUGCGAUGAAGGCCUUCGGGUUGUAAAGCACUUUUGGCAGGAAAACGGCACAGGAUAAUACCGCAGCUGACGACACCUGCAGAAUAAGCACCGGCUAACUACGUGCCAGCAGCCGCGGUAAUACGUAGGGUGCAAGCGUUAAUCGGAAUUACUGGGCGUAAAGCGUGCGCAGGCGGUUCAGAGAAAGAUGUGAAAUCCCAGAGCUUAACUUUGGAACUGCAUUUUUAACUACCGAGCUAGAGUGUGUCAGAGGGAGGUGGAAUUCCGCGUGUAGCAGUGAAAUGCGUAGAUAUGCGGAGGAACACCGAUGGCGAAGGCAGCCUCCUGGGAUAACACUGACGCUCAUGCACGAAAGCGUGGGAGCAAACAGGAUUAGAUACCCUGGUAGUCCACGCCUAAACGAUGUCAACUAGCUGUUGGGCCUUCGGGCAGCGAGCAGCGCAGCUAACGCGUGAAGUUGACCGCCUGGAAGGUAAGAUCGCCAAGAUUAAAACUCAAAGGAAUUGACGGGGACCCGCACAAGCGGUGGAUGAUGUGGAUUAAUUCGAUGCAACGCGAAAAACCUUACCUUGACAUGUCUGGAAUCCCGAAGAGAUUUGGGAGUGCUCAUAAGAGAACCGGAGACACAGGUGCUGCAUGGCUGUCGUCAGCUCGUGUCGUGAGACGUUGGGUUAAGUCCGCAACAGGCGUAACCCUUGUCAUUAGUUGCUACGAAGAACGCUCUAAUGAGACUGCCGGUGACAAACCGGAGGAAGGUGGGGAUGACGUCAAGUCCUCAUAGCCCCUAUGGUGGGGCUUCACGUCAUACAAUGGUCAGGACAGAGGGUCGCCAACCCGCGAGGGGAGCCAAUCCCAGAAACCUGAUGUAGUCCGGAUCGCAGUCUGCAACUCGACUGCGUGGAAGUCGGAAUCGCUAGUAAUCGCGGAUCAGCAUGUCGCGGUGAAUACGUUCCCGGGUCUUGUACACACCGCCCGUCACACCAUGGGAGUGGGUUUUACCAGAAGUAGUUAGCUAACCGUAAGGAGGGCGAUUACCACAGUAGGAUUCAUGACUGGGGUGAAGUCGUAACAAGGUAG